UACGAAGGGGGCUAGCGUUGCUCGGAAUCACUGGGCGUAAAGCGCACGUAGGCGGAUUGUUAAGUCAGGGGUGAAAUCCUGGAGCUCAACUCCAGAACUGCCUUUGAUACUGGCGAUCUUGAGUCCGGGAGAGGUGAGUGGAACUGCGAGUGUAGAGGUGAAAUUCGUAGAUAUUCGCAAGAACCCCAGUGGCGAAGGCGGCCCACUGGCCCGGUACUGACGCUGAGGUGCGAAAGCUAGGGGAGCAAACAGG
RNAcentral lists this ribosomal RNA (253 nucleotides) under uncultured bacterium. RNAcentral's name for it is "partial 16S ribosomal RNA". It matches the Rfam family "Bacterial small subunit ribosomal RNA", at positions 524 to 776 of the family's 1533-position model. The record is from RNAcentral.